Molecule: ribosomal RNA, 207 nt
Filed under: uncultured bacterium
Lineage: Bacteria
Description: partial 16S ribosomal RNA
Rfam family: Bacterial small subunit ribosomal RNA
Source: RNAcentral
CGCGUAGGCGGAUCUGCAAGUCAAUUGUGAAAACCAGCAGCUUAACUGCUGGCCUGCACUUGAAACUGCUGAUCUUGAGUACGGGAGAGGAAAGCGGAAUUCCUGGUGUAGCGGUGAAAUGCGUAGAUAUCAGGAGGAACACCGGUGGCGAAGGCGGCUUUCUGGCCCGAUACUGACGCUGAGGCGCGAAGGCCGGGGGAGCAAACA